Molecule: ribosomal RNA, 1432 nt
Filed under: bacterium NLAE-zl-H191
Lineage: Bacteria
Description: bacterial SSU rRNA
Rfam family: Bacterial small subunit ribosomal RNA
Source: RNAcentral
CUAUCAUGCAGUCGAGCGACAGAUAAGGAGCUUGCUCCUUUGACGUUAGCGGCGGACGGGUGAGUAACACGUGGAUAACCUACCUAUAAGACUGGGAUAACUUCGGGAAACCGGAGCUAAUACCGGAUAACAUAUUGAACCGCAUGGUUCAAUAGUGAAAGGCGGCUUUGCUGUCACUUAUAGAUGGAUCCGCGCCGUAUUAGCUAGUUGGUAAGGUAACGGCUUACCAAGGCAACGAUACGUAGCCGACCUGAGAGGGUGAUCGGCCACACUGGAACUGAGACACGGUCCAGACUCCUACGGGAGGCAGCAGUAGGGAAUCUUCCGCAAUGGGCGAAAGCCUGACGGAGCAACGCCGCGUGAGUGAUGAAGGUCUUCGGAUCGUAAAACUCUGUUAUCAGGGAAGAACAAAUGUGUAAGUAACUGUGCACAUCUUGACGGUACCUGAUCAGAAAGCCACGGCUAACUACGUGCCAGCAGCCGCGGUAAUACGUAGGUGGCAAGCGUUAUCCGGAAUUAUUGGGCGUAAAGCGCGCGUAGGCGGUUUUUUUAAGUCUGAUGUGAAAGCCCACGGCUCAACCGUGGAGGGUCAUUGGAAACUGGAAAACUUGAGUGCAGAAGAGGAAAGUGGAAUUCCAUGUGUAGCGGUGAAAUGCGCAGAGAUAUGGAGGAACACCAGUGGCGAAGGCGACUUUCUGGUCUGUAACUGACGCUGAUGUGCGAAAGCGUGGGGAUCAAACAGGAUUAGAUACCCUGGUAGUCCACGCCGUAAACGAUGAGUGCUAAGUGUUAGGGGGUUUCCGCCCCUUAGUGCUGCAGCUAACGCAUUAAGCACUCCGCCUGGGGAGUACGACCGCAAGGUUGAAACUCAAAGGAAUUGACGGGGGACCCGCACAAGCGGUGGAGCAUGUGGUUUAAUUCGAAGCAACGCGAAGAACCUUACCAAAUCUUGACAUCCUUUGACCGCUCUAGAGAUAGAGUCUUCCCCUUCGGGGAACAAAGUGACAGGUGGUGCAUGGUUGUCGUCAGCUCGUGUCGUGAGAUGUUGGGUUAAGUCCCGCAACGAGCGCAACCCUUAAGCUUAGUUGCCAUCAUUAAGUUGGGCACUCUAAGUUGACUGCCGGUGACAAACCGGAGGAAGGUGGGGAUGACGUCAAAUCAUCAUGCCCCUUAUGAUUUGGGCUACACACGUGCUACAAUGGACAAUACAAAGGGCAGCUAAACCGCGAGGUCAAGCAAAUCCCAUAAAGUUGUUCUCAGUUCGGAUUGUAGUCUGCAACUCGACUACAUGAAGCUGGAAUCGCUAGUAAUCGUAGAUCAGCAUGCUAGCGGUGAAUACGUUCCCGGGUCUUGUACACACCGCCCGUCACACCACGAGAGUUUGUAACACCCGAAGCCGGUGGAGUAACCAUUUAUGGAGCUAGCCUCGAAG